CAUUGGGUCAGACAAGAAUCAUCAAUGGAUGCUGAAUGUAGGAGCAAAAUUUUAAUGAAAAGCAGGUUAUUUACAUGGUUUUUAAAUGUUUCUCUACAGAAUGCCUAUUAGCUGCAUGAGGGGAAACAGUAACCAGAAAGUAGAGGACUGGACAACAUCUGGACCAAGGGAUCAAAAUUAACAUCAAUAAGGAAGUCGCUAUGCACAGUUCACACUUAAGGACUGAGGAAGAGUUAUGUUCCAUCUCCUUGAAGUCCUAGAAUCAGGCGUUUCUUUAAGAGGCCCUACUUCCUCUAAUUGGAUAAUUCUAGAAACCGGUAUU
Molecule: long non-coding RNA, 322 nt
Filed under: Homo sapiens (human)
Lineage: Eukaryota; Metazoa; Chordata; Mammalia; Primates; Hominidae
Description: non-protein coding LINC02281:10
Source: RNAcentral